GAGCAUGUGGUUUAAUUCGAUGCAACGUGAAAGAACCUUUANCUGGUCUUGACAUCCACGGAAGUUUUCAGAGAUGAGAAUGUGCCUUCGGGAACCGUGAGACAGGUGNUGCAUGGCUGUCGUCAGCUCGUGUUGUGAAAUGUUGGGUUAAGUCCCGCAACGAGCGCAACCCUUAUCCUUUGUUGCCAGCGGUCCGGCCGGGAACUCAAAGGAGACUGCCAGUGAUAAACUGGAGGAAGGUGGGGAUGACGUCAAGUCAUCAUGGCCCUUACGACCAGGGCUACACACGUGCUACAAUGGCGCAUACAAAGAGAAGCGACCUCGCGAGAGCAAGCGGACCUCAUAAAGUGCGUCGUAGUCCGGAUUGGAGUCUGCAACUCGACUCCAUGAAGUCGGAAUCGCUAGUAAUCGUGGAUCAGAAUGCCACGGUGAAUACGUUCCCGGGCCUUGUACACACCGCCCGUCACACCAUGGGAGUGGGUUGCAAAAGAAGUAGGUAGCUUAACCUUCGGGAGGGCGCUUACCACUUUGUGAUUCAUGACUGGGGUG
Molecule: ribosomal RNA, 549 nt
Filed under: uncultured bacterium
Lineage: Bacteria
Description: bacterial SSU rRNA
Rfam family: Bacterial small subunit ribosomal RNA
Source: RNAcentral